This 192-nucleotide ribosomal RNA is filed under the name Clostridioides difficile. RNAcentral describes it as "partial 16S ribosomal RNA". It matches the Rfam family "Bacterial small subunit ribosomal RNA", at positions 1351 to 1533 of the family's 1533-position model. The record is from RNAcentral. Lineage: Bacteria; Bacillati; Bacillota; Clostridia; Peptostreptococcales; Peptostreptococcaceae.
AGGAUGCUGCGAUGCAUGCGUUCCCGUGUCUUGUACACACCGCCAGUCACACCACGGGAGUUGGAGACGCCCGAAGCCGAUUAUCUAACCUUUUGGAAGAAGUCGUCGAAGGUGGAACCAAUAACGGGGGUGAAGUCGUAACAAGGUAGCCGUAUCAGAAGGUGCGGCUGGAUCACCUCCUUUCUAAGGAGA